GAUCAUGGCUCAGGAUGAACGCUGGCGGCGUGCCUAACACAUGCAAGUCGAACGGAACUACUUUGAUGAGAUUCUUCGGAAAGGAAUUGAUUAGUUAGUGGCGGACGGGUGAGUAACGCGUGGGUAACCUGCCUCAUACAGGGGGAUAACAGUUGGAAACGACUGUUAAUACCGCAUAAGCGCACGGCAUCGCAUGAUGCAGUGUGAAAAACUCCGGUGGUAUAAGAUGGACCCGCGUCUGAUUAGCUAGUUGGUGAGGUAACGGCUCACCAAGGCGACGAUCAGUAGCCGGCCUGAGAGGGUGAACGGCCACAUUGGGACUGAGACACGGCCCAAACUCCUACGGGAGGCAGCAGUGGGGAAUAUUGCACAAUGGGGGAAACCCUGAUGCAGCGACGCCGCGUGAGUGAAGAAGUAUUUCGGUAUGUAAAGCUCUAUCAGCAAGGAAGAAAAUGACGGUACUUGACUAAGAAGCCCCGGCUAACUACGNG
Molecule: ribosomal RNA, 491 nt
Filed under: uncultured bacterium
Lineage: Bacteria
Description: bacterial SSU rRNA
Rfam family: Bacterial small subunit ribosomal RNA
Source: RNAcentral